CCUACGGGAGGCAGCAGUGGGGAAUAUUGGGCAAUGGGCGCAAGCCUGACCCAGCAACGCCGCGUGAAGGAAGAAGGCUUUCGGGUUGUAAACUUCUUUUCUGAGGGAAGAAGAAAGUGACGGUACCUCAGGAAUAAGCCACUGCUAACGACGUGCCAGCAGCCGCGGUAAUACGUAGGUGGCAAGCGUUAGCCGGAUUUAUUGGGUGUAAAGGGGGUGUAGGCGGGAAAGCAAGUCAGAUGUGAAAAGUCAGGGCUCAACCCGGGGACUGCAUUUGAAACUGUUUUGCUUGAGUGCUGGAGAGGUAAUCGGAAUUCCGUGUGUAGCGGUGAAAUGCGUAGAUAUACGGAGGAACACCAGUGGCGAAGGCGGAUUGCUGGACAGUAACUGACGCUGAGGCGCGAAAGCGUGGGGAGCAAACAGGAUUAGAUACCCCUGUAGUC
RNAcentral lists this ribosomal RNA (443 nucleotides) under uncultured bacterium. RNAcentral's name for it is "partial 16S ribosomal RNA". It matches the Rfam family "Bacterial small subunit ribosomal RNA", at positions 338 to 795 of the family's 1533-position model. The record is from RNAcentral.